Molecule: long non-coding RNA, 364 nt
Filed under: Mytilus galloprovincialis (Mediterranean mussel)
Lineage: Eukaryota; Metazoa; Mollusca; Bivalvia; Mytilida; Mytilidae
Source: RNAcentral
AACAACGAUGUGGGCUUUGUAAUGGACAAACAUCAGCCGUCUUAAUGACGUCACGACGCUUAAUGUUUUGCACAGUAAUUAUAGCAUAAGGUUGAAAAUAUAUCCUGUGCCAAAUAUUAUGCUGCUAAAGAGUUAACACGUAUUUCUCAAUCUGUUCAAACGGCAAUAUUGUAGAAGUGCCAAAGGAUAACGAAGGACAAUUCAUUUUGUCCGAAAAUUAAACAUGCAACUUCACUUAUAUUGAGAGAACGGACAGGGAAAGCAAAACCGACAGACGACAAAAAUAGUAAGAAAUAAAAAUUUAAAUCUUCAACAAGUUACGAAAGUGAUAGAAAAUCCUAACCUUUUACUUAAUACUAAUAAA